RNAcentral lists this ribosomal RNA (254 nucleotides) under uncultured bacterium. Its description in RNAcentral is "partial 16S ribosomal RNA". It matches the Rfam family "Bacterial small subunit ribosomal RNA", at positions 524 to 776 of the family's 1533-position model. The record is from RNAcentral.
UACGGGGGGAGCAAGCGUUGUUCGGAUUUACUGGGCGUAAAGGGCGCGUAGGCGGCCAGUGCAAGUCAGUUGUGAAAUCUCCGAGCUUAACUCGGAAAGGUCAACUGAUACUGCUCGGCUAGAGUGCGGAAGGGGCAACUGGAAUUCUUGGUGUAGCGGUGAAAUGCGUAGAGAUGUGGAGGAACACCGAUGGCGAAGGCAGCCUUCUGGGCCAAUACUGACGCUCAUGCACGAAAGCGUGGGGAGCAAACAGG